Molecule: ribosomal RNA, 253 nt
Filed under: uncultured bacterium
Lineage: Bacteria
Description: partial 16S ribosomal RNA
Rfam family: Bacterial small subunit ribosomal RNA
Source: RNAcentral
UACGUAGGGGGCUAGCGUUGUCCGGAUUUAUUGGGCGUAAAGAGCGUGUAGGCGGCCAGGUAGGUCUGGUGUGAAAACUCGAGGCUUAACCUCGAGAUGUCAUCGGAAACCAUCUGGCUAGAGUCCGGAAGAGGAGAGUGGAAUUCCUGGUGUAGCGGUGAAAUGCGCAGAUAUCAGGAAGAACACCAAUGGCGAAAGCAGCUCUCUGGGACGGUACUGACGCUGAGACGCGAAAGCGUGGGGAGCGAUCCGG